RNAcentral lists this ribosomal RNA (253 nucleotides) under uncultured bacterium. Its description in RNAcentral is "partial 16S ribosomal RNA". It matches the Rfam family "Bacterial small subunit ribosomal RNA", at positions 524 to 776 of the family's 1533-position model. The record is from RNAcentral.
UACGAAGGGUGCAAGCGUUAAUCGGAAUUACUGGGCGUAAAGGGUGCGUAGGCGGUUCGUUAAGUCUGUUGUGAAAUCCCCGGGCUCAACCUGGGAAUGGCAAUGGAUACUGGCGGGCUAGAGUGUGUCAGAGGAUGGUGGAAUUCCCGGUGUAGCGGUGAAAUGCGUAGAGAUCGGGAGGAACAUUAGUGGCGAAGGCGGCCAUCUGGGACAACACUGACGCUGAAGCACGAAAGCGUGGGGAGCAAACAGG